This 71-nucleotide transfer RNA is filed under the name Candidatus Microgenomates bacterium. RNAcentral describes it as "tRNA-Gln". It matches the Rfam family "tRNA". From Rfam's summary of the family: Transfer RNA (tRNA) molecules are approximately 80 nucleotides in length. Their secondary structure includes four short double-helical elements and three loops (D, anti-codon, and T loops). Further hydrogen bonds mediate the characteristic L-shaped molecular structure. tRNAs have two regions of fundamental functional importance: the anti-codon, which is responsible for specific mRNA codon recognition, and the 3' end, to which the tRNAs corresponding amino acid is attached (by aminoacyl-tRNA synthetases). tRNAs cope with the degeneracy of the genetic code in two manners: having more than one tRNA (with a specific anti-codon) for a particular amino acid; and 'wobble' base-pairing, i.e. permitting non-standard base-pairing at the 3rd anti-codon position. Lineage: Bacteria; Candidatus Microgenomatota. The record is from RNAcentral.
UGCCUGGUCGUCUAAUGGUAGGACAGCGGACUUUGGAUCCGUCAAUCGGGGUUCGAAUCCCUGCCGGGCAG